AUUGAACGCUGGCGGCAGGCCUAACACAUGCAAGUCGAGCGGAUGAAGGGAGCUUGCUCCUGGAUUCAGCGGCGAACGGGUGAGUAAUGCCUAGGAAUCUGCCUGGUAGUGGGGGAUAACGUCCGGAAACGGGCGCUAAUACCGCAUACGUCCUGUGGGAGAAAGGGGGGGUUCUUCGGACCUCACGCUAUCAGAUGAGCCUAGGUCGGAUUAGCUAGUUGGUGGGGUAUAGGCCUACCAAGGCGCCGAUCCGUAACUGGUCUGAGAGGAUGAUCAGUCACACUGGAACUGAGACACGGCCCAGGCACCUACGGGAGGCAGCAGUGGGGAAUGUUGGACAAUGGGCGGAAGCCUGAUCCAGCCGUGCCGCGUGUGUGAAGAAGGUCUUCGGAUUGUAAAGCACUUUAAGGUGUGAGGAAGGGCAGUAAGUUAGUACCUUGCUGUUUUGACGUUACCAACAGAAGAAGCACCGGCUAACUACGUG
This 484-nucleotide ribosomal RNA is filed under the name uncultured bacterium. RNAcentral's name for it is "partial 16S ribosomal RNA". It matches the Rfam family "Bacterial small subunit ribosomal RNA", at positions 30 to 507 of the family's 1533-position model. The record is from RNAcentral.